ACAGUGGGGAAUUAUGUGCGGUAAUAAUGUGUUACAACUUAAACCUCAAUCCAAACUCUAAAUAAUGUUACAUUAAAAACAAAAGAAUAUAAUUUAGCAUAAAUAUAAAAACUAAACACGUGUAAAGUAAAACCGUUUUGUGAUCUUUAUGAAUGUUACUUUAAUAGUUUUUCUAAUUAAAAUUAAUUUGGAGUAGUUAAGAAAAAGAAUUACAAACUAACUUUUAGGGUGGCUGUGAAAACAUUCGGAAUCUUUUUUGAGAACAAGUAUAAUUAGUUUCCAUCAUUAUCCACAAUAUGCUUUUAAUCAUUGUACCUUAAUUAAGUGUAAUAUAAUGAAAUAACUAAGCCACAGUGUGUACAUCUCUUUUCUGUAUUUCUUUUAUUAAAUUGUCUUUUUUUUAA
This 404-nucleotide long non-coding RNA is filed under the name Brassica napus (rape). RNAcentral's name for it is "long non-coding RNA (BNAP_LNC025121)". Lineage: Eukaryota; Viridiplantae; Streptophyta; Magnoliopsida; Brassicales; Brassicaceae. The record is from RNAcentral.